AUUGACGGGGGCCCGCACAAGCGGUGGAGCAUGUGGUUUAAUUCGAUGCAACGCGAAGAACCUUACCUGGUCUUGACAUCCACAGAACUUUCCAGAGAUGGACUGGUGCCUUCGGGAACUGUGAGACAGGUGCUGCAUGGCUGUCGUCAGCUCGUGUUGUGAAAUGUUGGGUUAAGUCCCGCAACGAGCGCAACCCUUAUCCU
RNAcentral lists this ribosomal RNA (203 nucleotides) under Salmonella enterica subsp. enterica serovar Derby. RNAcentral describes it as "partial 16S ribosomal RNA". It matches the Rfam family "Bacterial small subunit ribosomal RNA", at positions 909 to 1111 of the family's 1533-position model. The record is from RNAcentral. Lineage: Bacteria; Pseudomonadati; Pseudomonadota; Gammaproteobacteria; Enterobacterales; Enterobacteriaceae.